AUUGACCGCUGGCGGCAGGCUUAACACAUGCAAGUCGAGCGAGCGGCGGACGCGUAGGUAAUGUCUGGGAAACUGCCUGGUGAAGGGGGAUAGCUACUGGAAACGGUAGCUAAUACCGCAUACCAUCAGAUGUGCCCAGAUGGGAUUAGCUAGUAGGUGGGGUAAUGGCUCACCUAGGCGACGAUCUCUAGCUGGUCUCAUAGGAUGACAAGCAACACUGGAACUGAGAUACGGUCACGACUACGACGGGAGGCAGAAGUGGGGAAUCUGGCACAAUGGGCGCAAGCAUGAUGCAGUCAUGCCGCGUGUGUGAAGAAGGCCUUCGGGUUGUAAAGCAAUUCCAGAGAGGAGGCGUGACUAGCAGAAGAAGCACCGGCUAACUCCGUGCCAGCAGCCGCGGUAAUAC
RNAcentral lists this ribosomal RNA (406 nucleotides) under uncultured bacterium. Its description in RNAcentral is "partial 16S ribosomal RNA". It matches the Rfam family "Bacterial small subunit ribosomal RNA", at positions 30 to 526 of the family's 1533-position model. The record is from RNAcentral.